AGUGAACGCUGGCGGUAGGCCUAACACAUGCAAGUCGAACGGCAGCACAGUAAGAGCUUGCUCUUACGGGUGGCGAGUGGCGGACGGGUGAGGAAUACAUCGGAAUCUACUUUUUCGUGGGGGAUAACGUAGGGAAACUUACGCUAAUACCGCAUACGACCUACGGGUGAAAGCAGGGGAUCUUCGGACCUUGCGCGAUUGAAUGAGCCGAUGUCGGAUUAGCUAGUUGGCGGGGUAAAGGCCCACCAAGGCGACGAUCCGUAGCUGGUCUGAGAGGAUGAUCAGCCACACUAGAACUGAGACACGGUCCAGACUCCUACGGGAGGCAGCAGUGGGGAAUAUUGGACAAUGGGCGCAAGCCUGAUCCAGCCAUACCGCGUGGGUGAAGAAGGCCUUCGGGUUGUAAAGCCCUUUUGUUGGGAAAGAAAAGCAGCAGGUUAAUACCCCGCUGUUCUGACGGUACCCAAAGAAUAAGCACCGACUAACUUCGUG
RNAcentral lists this ribosomal RNA (492 nucleotides) under uncultured bacterium. RNAcentral describes it as "partial 16S ribosomal RNA". It matches the Rfam family "Bacterial small subunit ribosomal RNA", at positions 29 to 507 of the family's 1533-position model. The record is from RNAcentral.